RNAcentral lists this ribosomal RNA (459 nucleotides) under uncultured bacterium. RNAcentral's name for it is "partial 16S ribosomal RNA". It matches the Rfam family "Bacterial small subunit ribosomal RNA", at positions 338 to 795 of the family's 1533-position model. The record is from RNAcentral.
CCUACGGGUGGCAGCAGUGAGGAAUAUUGGUCAAUGGGCGCGAGCCUGAACCAGCCAAGUCGCGUGAGGGAAGACGGUCCUAUGGAUUGUAAACCUCUUUUGUCGGGGAGCAAAAGACGCCACGCGUGGCGUUCCGAGAGUACCCGAAGAAAAAGCAUCGGCUAACUCCGUGCCAGCAGCCGCGGUAAUACGGAGGAUGCGAGCGUUAUCCGGAUUUAUUGGGUUUAAAGGGUGCGCAGGCGGAAGAUCAAGUCAGCGGUAAAAUUGAGGGGCUCAACCUCUUCGAGCUGUUGAAACUGGGUUGCUUGAGUGAGCGAGAAGUAUGCGGAAUGCGUGGUGUAGCGGUGAAAUGCAUAGAUAUCACGCAGAACUCCGAUUGCGAAGGCAGCAUACCGGCGCUCAACUGACGCUCAUGCACGAAAGUGUGGGUAUCGAACAGGAUUAGAUACCCGGGUAGUC